This is a long non-coding RNA of Ornithorhynchus anatinus (platypus), 709 nucleotides long. RefSeq lists it as uncharacterized. The record is from RefSeq and is a predicted model, not a curated record. NCBI's taxonomy places the organism in Eukaryota, Metazoa, Chordata, Mammalia, Monotremata, Ornithorhynchidae. The transcript has 3 exons.
GGCGACUCCGGGCCCGCCCCCGCCCGGAGCCCCGCCGGCAAUGGCGCCCGCCGCCUCCCGGAGGUGAUGCCAGGCGAUGCCAGGCGAUGCCAGGCGAUGCCCGCCGGUCCCUUCCCGGUCCCGGCGCCUAUCACAGCAAAGCCGUCAGUCCCUCGCCCACCGCCCCCCUCUCCUCCUCGCCCGCAGAAAGGGGUGGGCACUGCCCCUGCCCCACCGGAGGAGGAGGAGGAAGAAAGGAGGAGGAGGGAGAGGGGCUUGGGGGCCACUAGGACCCCGGCCUCCUCCCGGUGAAGCCCAAGGAUGCUCCCCCUCCGAGCUUCGCUGGCAAGAACUGUGACCUGGGGAGGAGGUGUGUGACCUUGUUUUGUGGAGUGACAAGUUUACUGAACACGGUGAUCUCCGACAAUAUAAAACACGGAGAUAACAGGAAGAAAAUGAAGUCAACCGUUUCCUAGUCCUAAAACCGCAUUGAUUUCAAAAUGAAGUUCCCGUUAAUGAAACGGAAGAAUGUGAAGAAAAUCAAAGGCUGCGAGAAUGAGGAGAAUAUGGCUACCCCUAUGGGACUGGAAGAUCGAUGCCGAAUUUUGUCAUCUAGUAACCAAGCAGAGAUCACCCUGCUGUCGGCUCUCUACGUGUCCACUGACCAUUCAUUCAUUUAAUCGUAUUUAUUGAGUGCUUACUGUGUGCAGAGUACUGUAUUAAGCGUUUG